This 293-nucleotide ribosomal RNA is filed under the name uncultured bacterium. RNAcentral's name for it is "partial 16S ribosomal RNA". RNAcentral also lists the same sequence under 2 other names. The record is from RNAcentral.
GGACUACCGGGGUAUCUAAUCCCGUUCGCUCCCCUGGCUUUCGCGUCUCAGCGUCAGCAGACGUCCAGGACCUCGCUUUCGCCACGGGCGUUCCUUCCGAUCUCAACGCAUUUCACCGCUCCACCGGAAGUUCCAGGUCCCCCUACGUCCCUCCAGGGCGGUCGUAUCGGCGCCCGUUCCCCGGUUGAGCCGGGGGCUUUCAGCGACCGACGUGCCGUCCCGCCUACACGCGCUUUAAGCCCAGUGAUUCCGAAUAACGUUCGCACGGUUCGUCUUACCGCGGCGGCUGGCAC